Hordeum vulgare subsp. vulgare (domesticated barley) is the source of this 136-nucleotide non-coding RNA. The record is from Rfam. Lineage: Eukaryota; Viridiplantae; Streptophyta; Magnoliopsida; Poales; Poaceae.
CAAAUACUCUCUCUGUCUCAAAAAAUUUGUCUUAAAAUUGUCUAGAUAUGAAUGUGUCUAGUCACAUUUUAGCAUUUAGAUACAUUCAUUUAUUGACAAUCCUAAGACAAAAUUUUUGGAACGGCGGGAGUAUUGA